GUCGUAUAAAUCUUCCCGGCUCGGAGAUGAACCACAGCCUUGUUCCCCUGAUCGAUGUUUAAAAGCAAUAAGAAGAAUAUACCAACUGUGGAUCCAACAAUAGCAAUAAGGGCGAAGAGAAAGAUAAGAAGGACGAUACGGAACGAGACCAUUGUUGGGUGUAUAAUAGAAAAAGACGAAUGAAUCAGUAUUUUUCCAUUAACGGAGAAAUUUGUACAUGUUGUAUGUCAAUGUAUAUGAGUAACUGAGUAUAUAUAUAUAUAUAACAUAAGAAAAGGUUUGAUGUAUAAUGGGAUGCAAGUCAUCAACUUCCCGUAUUUUAUCCGUUCUAGAGUUUGAUUCAA
This is a long non-coding RNA of Capsella rubella, 344 nucleotides long. RefSeq lists it as uncharacterized. Lineage: Eukaryota; Viridiplantae; Streptophyta; Magnoliopsida; Brassicales; Brassicaceae. The record is from RefSeq and is a predicted model, not a curated record. The transcript is spliced from 2 exons.